UACGAAGGGGGCUAGCGUUGCUCGGAAUUACUGGGCGUAAAGCGCACGUAGGCGGAUUGUUAAGUCGGGGGUGAAAUCCUGGAGCUCAACUCCAGAACUGCCUUCGAUACUGGCGAUCUCGAGUUCGGGAGAGGUGAGUGGAACUGCGAGUGUAGAGGUGAAAUUCGUAGAUAUUCGCAAGAACACCAGUGGCGAAGGCGGCUCACUGGCCCGAUACUGACGCCGAGGUGCGAAAGCGUGGGGAGCAAACAGG
This 253-nucleotide ribosomal RNA is filed under the name uncultured bacterium. RNAcentral's name for it is "partial 16S ribosomal RNA". It matches the Rfam family "Bacterial small subunit ribosomal RNA", at positions 524 to 776 of the family's 1533-position model. The record is from RNAcentral.